Molecule: ribosomal RNA, 1067 nt
Filed under: Garypus malgaryungu
Lineage: Eukaryota; Metazoa; Arthropoda; Arachnida; Pseudoscorpiones; Garypidae
Description: partial large subunit ribosomal RNA
Rfam family: Eukaryotic large subunit ribosomal RNA
Source: RNAcentral
UAACGGCGAGCGAACGGGGAAGAGCUCGUGGCCGAAUCCGGAGCCCGAAAAGGCUUCGGAAAUGUGGCGUGUGGGAGGCGGCAUCCUCCGUUCGGAGAGACCGGCGCAGGUCCCCAUGAGAGGGGCAUGCUUCCCGGAGCGGGUGCUAGGCCCUUACCGCCGGGAUCUCCGGAGGGAGUCGCCGUUCUCCCGGGAGUCGGGUUGCUUGGGAGUGCAGCCCAAAGAGGGUGGUAAACUCCACCUAAAGCUAAAUAAGACCGAGAGACCGAUAGCAAACAAGUACCGUGAGGGAAAGUUGAAAAGCACUUUGAAGAGAGAGUUCAAGAGUACGUGAAACCGUUUGGAGGUAAACGGGUGGGGCUUCGAAAGCCGAGAGGGCGGUGGCGGAUUCAGCCUCGGGGGACUUCCUCCUCCUGGGGAUCCCCGCAUCGAGAGGUGGGGGCCCCGUGAGGGCGGGGAGCCUCCGGGGCGCACUUCCGCGCCCCGCCGGAAAGGACGCCGCGAGGGGUUGGCCGGCCGUCGUGGGGACGGGCCGAAAGGUGGCCGUCCUUCCUUAGGGAUCGACGGUGUUACAGGCGGCCCGGGGCCCGAGGGGUCGGCCGACCGUGGUGGAGGAAUGCCUCGAGAACCUUCUCGAUUGAGGUCGCGUGGGCCGUGGGCCCUCGCGGUCCCAGAGGCGACGCCCUGAGGGGCGAGCUUCGAAGAUCGUCGUGGUGCCCCGCGGUGCCUCGUGGGGGAAGGAGAGGUCGGCGGCGAGUAGAUCGGUCUCCCACCCGACCCGUCUUGAAACACGGACCAAGGAGUCCGAUGCGCGUGCGAGUCCCCGGGACUUGUUUAGGCCCGUGGGCGCAAUGAAGGUGAAGGGCGACGGGGGUCGUCCUAGUUGGGAUCCCUCCCCUCGAGGGGGGAAGGGCGCACCAACGUCCCGUCCGCGACCGGUCACGGUCGGGCGGAGAAGGAGCACGCGCCUUGGGACCCGAAAGAUGGUGAACUAUGCCUGGGCAGGAUGAAGCCAGAGGAAACUCUGGUGGAGGUCCGUAGCGAUUCUGACGUGCAAAUCGAUCGUC